UGCAAGAAUGCAUAUUGAGAUUUACAAGUAUCCAGCUUGGAGUGAUGUGGUUGAGAUUGAGACUUGGUGUCAGAGUGAAGGAAGGAUUGGAACUAGACGUGAUUGGAUUUUAAAGGACUGUGCUACCGGGGAAGUUAUUGGACGUGCUACAAGCAAGUGGGUGAUGAUGAACCAAGACACAAGGCGGCUUCAAAGAGUUAC
Molecule: non-coding RNA, 201 nt
Organism: Camelina sativa (false flax)
Lineage: Eukaryota; Viridiplantae; Streptophyta; Magnoliopsida; Brassicales; Brassicaceae
Source: RefSeq, a predicted model, not a curated record